RNAcentral lists this ribosomal RNA (841 nucleotides) under Sylvirana cf. nigrovittata USNM583124. RNAcentral's name for it is "partial 16S ribosomal RNA". It matches the Rfam family "Bacterial large subunit ribosomal RNA", at positions 1648 to 2565 of the family's 2925-position model. Lineage: Eukaryota; Metazoa; Chordata; Amphibia; Anura; Ranidae. The record is from RNAcentral.
UAAAAAGCGUCACAGCUUAACUUCCCUUAUACUUAUAAUUAGUAUACCUCCCCUCAACCCUUCACCAAUACUGAACUUUUUUAUAUUAUUAUAAAAAUUAUUAUGCUAGAACUAGUAACAAGAAAUUGCCCUUCUCCUAAAUGUAAACAUAAGUCAUAACGGACUCCCCAUUGACACUUAACGUAAUUGUAUACUUAUAUAGUAACACUCAUCAAGAAAACCCUAUAAUUUAAAACGUUAACCUUACACUAGAACAUUACAGGAAAGAUUAAAAGAGAGAGAAGGAACUCGGCAAAUUUUAGCCCCGCCUGUUUACCAAAAACAUCGCCUCUUGAUUCCUAUAAGAGGUCCAGCCUGCCCGGUGACAAAGUUUAACGGCCGCGGUACCCUAACCGUGCAAAGGUAGCAUAAUCACUUGUUCUCUAAAUAAGGACUAGUAUCAACGGCAUCACGAGGGCUAUACUGUCUCCUCUCCCUAAUCAGUGAAACUGAUCUCCCCGUGAAGAAGCGGGGAUAUACUUAUAAGACGAGAAGACCCCAUGGAGCUUCAAGCAAUGCAUUUACCCCAUACUCACACCAAAUUAACAAAAAGACCUAAAUGCUAGCUUUGGGUUGGGGAGACCGCGGAGUACAACUUAACCUCCACGACAAACGGGCCACGCCCCUAUCUACGAGUUACAACUCUAAGAAUCAAUAAUCUGAUGUUUAAUGACCCAUAAAUUUGAUCAACGAACCAAGUUACCCUGGGGAUAACAGCGCAAUCUACUUCAAGAGCCCCUAUCGACAAGUAGGUUUACGACCUCGAUGUUGGAUCAGGGUAUCCUAGUGGUGCAACCGCUAC